UUUCCGUAGAUGAACCUGCGGAAGGAUCAUUAAUGAGUUGUCAUGGGGUUCGAUGCUGGCAGCCAAUUUUUGGAUGCAUGUGCUUGCCCUAACAAUCAUCUUCCAAACACCUGUGCACAUUUUUGAGGGAGUCUUGAGUUGGUUGCCGCUCUUGGGUGAUUUUAUCACAUUCCCUUAAAUCAUUAUACGCUAUUAACAAUGUUGAACGUGCUCUGUGCCGCAAGGCUAUUAAUAUAAUACAACUUUUAACAACGGAUCUCUUGGCUCUC
Molecule: unclassified non-coding RNA, 269 nt
Filed under: plant metagenome
Description: partial contains small subunit ribosomal RNA, internal transcribed spacer 1, and 5.8S ribosomal RNA
Source: RNAcentral